Molecule: ribosomal RNA, 404 nt
Filed under: uncultured Gracilibacteraceae bacterium
Lineage: Bacteria; Bacillati; Bacillota; Clostridia; Eubacteriales; Gracilibacteraceae
Description: bacterial SSU rRNA
Rfam family: Bacterial small subunit ribosomal RNA
Source: RNAcentral
GGGGAAUAUUGCACAAUGGGCGAAAGCCUGAUGCAGCGACGCCGCGUGGAGGAAGAAGGUCUUCGGAUUGUAAACUCCUGUCUUCUGGGACGAAAAAAAUGACGGUACCAGAGGAGGAAGCACCGGCUAACUACGUGCCAGCAGCCGCGGUAAUACGUAGGUGGCAAGCGUUGUCCGGAAUUAUUGGGCGUAAAGGGCGCGUAGGCGGCAACCUAAGUCAGAUGUGAAACCCCGGGGCUUAACUCCGGACGUGCAUUUGAAACUGGGUAGCUAGAGUGCAGGAGAGGAAAGCGGAAUUCCUAGUGUAGCGGUGAAAUGCGUAGAUAUUAGGAGGAACACCAGUGGCGAAGGCGGCUUUCUGGACUGUAACUGACGCUGAGGCGCGAAAGCGUGGGGAGCAAACA